AUUGCUAUUGAGAGAAACGGUGACUAUGUUGAGAAGUAGGGAUGUGGUCCACAGAGGACCAGCUUCAUUUUGAUGUAUGAUACAUGUUCCUGUGUUGGUAAUUAUACCUGUCCUAAACAAAAUGGUAUUACUUUUUGACUUACCCUCAUAUGUGUAAGUAUAUAUAUAGGCGUAUGUGU
Long non-coding RNA from Octopus sinensis (East Asian common octopus), 179 nucleotides. RefSeq lists it as uncharacterized. The record is from RefSeq and is a predicted model, not a curated record. Lineage: Eukaryota; Metazoa; Mollusca; Cephalopoda; Octopoda; Octopodidae. The transcript is spliced from 3 exons.